AGAGUUUGAUCCUGGCUCAGAUUGAACGCUGGCGGCAUGCCUUACACAUGCAAGUCGAACGGUAACAGGUCUUCGGAUGCUGACGAGUGGCGAACGGGUGAGUAAUACAUCGGAACGUGCCCGAGAGUGGGGGAUAACGAAGCGAAAGCUUUGCUAAUACCGCAUACGAUCUCAGGAUGAAAGCAGGGGACCGCAAGGCCUUGCGCUCACGGAGCGGCCGAUGGCAGAUUAGGUAGUUGGUGGGAUAAAAGCUUACCAAGCCGACGAUCUGUAGCUGGUCUGAGAGGACGACCAGCCACACUGGGACUGAGACACGGCCCAGACUCCUACGGGAGGCAGCAGUGGGGAAUUUUGGACAAUGGGCGCAAGCCUGAUCCAGCCAUGCCGCGUGCAGGAUGAAGGCCUUCGGGUUGUAAACUGCUUUUGUACGGAACGAAAAGACUUUGGUUAAUACCUGGGGUCCAUGACGGUACCGUAAGAAUAAGCACCGGCUAACUACGUGCCAGCAGCCGCGGUAAUACGUAGGGUGCGAGCGUUAAUCGGAAUUACUGGGCGUAAAGCGUGCGCAGGCGGUUAUAUAAGACAGAUGUGAAAUCCCCGGGCUCAACCUGGGAACUGCAUUUGUGACUGUAUAGCUAGAGUACGGCAGAGGGGGAUGGAAUUCCGCGUGUAGCAGUGAAAUGCGUAGAUAUGCGGAGGAACACCGAUGGCGAAGGCAAUCCCCUGGCCUGUACUGACGCUCAUGCACGAAAGCGUGGGGAGCAAACAGGAUUAGAUACCCUGUAGUCCACGCCCUAAAC
Molecule: ribosomal RNA, 800 nt
Filed under: uncultured bacterium
Lineage: Bacteria
Description: bacterial SSU rRNA
Rfam family: Bacterial small subunit ribosomal RNA
Source: RNAcentral